AGUGAGAAACAUUACAAAUAAAAUUUAAAUACCCGUCAUUAAACCUUUAUUAUUUAUUACUCACUUAGGUACCUACUUACCAAAUUGUAUUAGCUGCAUCUAUUUACUCUCUCUCGGUUGAUUAUCAUAUAAAUAAAUAAUAAAUUAACUAAUAUGUCAAACUAAUAAAAUACUUAAACUUAAAACCAUCUAAAUUUCCAUUCUCAAUAAGUACCCAAUUACCAGGUUUAUAAGCUGUCGUAAGACAGCUACUAAAAGCCGUCAAUAUCUCAAAGGAAUGAGGAUUUGUAGUAUUUUAGUAAAGUGACUAUUACAUCCCUGUAGAGCGCGGACACCUGGGGACCGGUCGCACUCGUUCCGAGUGUUCCGACCCACGCAAUGCUCCCUACCACGUACAAACUGCAAAACAACAACGCGACAACUCCAUGAAAACAACAGACUACAUCGCUUUUUCGAACACGAGGUCUGAGGAAGCGAAAUGUCACUCCAGUGCCCCACACAUCCCCACGCUAGAAAUUUAAUUAAUUUAAUAAACGGCAGCGAACAUGCAGCAUCAAAUAGGUAGUGACGUACAGAGCCCAAAUAUAUCGUCACAGACGUUUAGCUUUGUUAUCAUAGAAAUAUGCCUUGAGGCCCUACUGCGAAAAACGAAAAUCGAAAUUUCUGCCUCCCUACCGCUCGAAUAUGUAAAAGUGAUAGUGGCAGAUAACGAAAAAUCGAUUUACGGUUCGGUAGGCCCUCUGUCUCAUUAGAACCCAAAUCCACGGAUUUCGUGUUCCAAAGGCAUGUAGGUACCAAAAGGUACUAUUUCAAUAAAUUCUUACUCUUGUUUUAAUUCGUAACACUUCUAGUCGCAUCAUAAUGGCUGGAGUACUAACGCUAAAAGUCUUCAAAAACUUUGAAAUUAUGUUAAUAGACUACUGAACAAUGUAAUUAAUUAUAAAACAUGUGAUAUUUCGGACUCAUCUACAACAGAAUAACAGCCAUUAGCAACCAAAUAAGGCUCGGAUUGUACAUGACCCGGAUAUUCGACUAAACGGAAUAUAUUACACGAUAUAAUGCGCUCAUUAUGCAUGUAAAAAACAAGGAAAUGAGUUCGAGUAGCAAAAAUUUUAGUUUUUAUUCUGAUUACAAUAGGAUUCACUUAGCAUUAGCACGUCACUUAUGCUUAACUUUUUAUUAGGUGUAUACCUAAGUAAUAAAUUAUUAUUAUAAAAAAAUACUUUAAGUAGCCAUUAUAAAUUACAUAUAUCAGCAUAUACCAAACCUGGUUAUUGGUAACUUUCCGAUUUACAAUUGUAUCGGUAACUAUGAACUCUAUGUAAUGUAUUUAAAUAACUACGAAUUAACAUAUCACUUUGAGAACGUAAUAACUUUAGUUCGCAUUAUUACUAUUGUGUCAUAAUAAUACAUAAGUACCUAGUUAGUAUACGAAUUCUCUUGGUCACGCGAUUUUGCAAGCUCACGUGAAUUAUACUUCGAGAAUUGAAUUAUGUAUUGCGUACAUUUGAUUCGUGUACCUACAUACUUACUAACAUAUCACACACCAAAAUAGUCAGUGAAUUCGUACAUUUUAAAUGUACAGAAAAACCGUAAUUAGAAGUCUGUGCUAAUUCUUUUGUGUACUUAUAUGUUUCUUUCUUUGUGAAACUAAUUUUAUUAGUAAGUCAAGUAUGACUGUUACUGUACAGAUCAAUAGUUGUUACAGUUUCAUUGUGGGUAUAAGGUUUUAAUAAUUUAACUCUCUUGCAAAUAAAUUUACACACAAUUAUAUUUUACUUGUAUAGUUAUUAGUAUUCUAUUUAAUUUGUACCUAUAGCUUGUAGUUGCGCUCUCUCGGAAGGGUUUCCACGGAAGACCAGCGUCGGGGUCCCCAAAGGUUCCUUGUCAUGAAGCUGAGUGGAGACCAUUUCAGUGACGCUUUAUAAUGAUACUAUGUCAGUGCUAUUAGUUAAGUUUAAAUUAAGCGUUUUUGAAUAAAGCUUCUUCUAUUCUAU
Molecule: long non-coding RNA, 1997 nt
Organism: Cydia pomonella (codling moth)
Lineage: Eukaryota; Metazoa; Arthropoda; Insecta; Lepidoptera; Tortricidae
Exons: 2
Source: RefSeq, a predicted model, not a curated record